Molecule: long non-coding RNA, 1900 nt
Filed under: Amborella trichopoda
Lineage: Eukaryota; Viridiplantae; Streptophyta; Magnoliopsida; Amborellales; Amborellaceae
Description: long non-coding RNA (ATRI_LNC000922)
Source: RNAcentral
CCUCAACCACUAGAUUUCAAAUCUAACAGUUAAUAAUGAUUGUGACUUCAUUGUAUAUAAACAGUUUCAUUGUAUAUAUUUCCAAAGAAAAAAGAGCUGAGGUAAACAAGUCACAGGAAAAUAAGUGCACCUUAUGUACGCAUUUAUUUAAAUUCGGCUACCAAACCCUUACAAAGAAAAAUUGAAAUGAUAAGGACCUUGGACAAUUAAGCUGGGCAUUAGUUUAGAGAUAGACAGAGAGAAAAAGAAGCGCUUUAGCAAGGGUAAAAGCAUUGACAGGCACGAGGAAUGCACAGAGCACUUGCCCUUUGCCCAUAAAUCCUCACACAAGUAUCUAUGCAGUCAGGUUGUUCACAAGGGCGAGAGGCAUCGGGUAGGGAAAUGCUGCAUUCCUUUGCAUCUGCAAUUAUUGGUACUUGAUCUGUGCCCAUCAAAAUAGAUCAAAUAUCAAUGAAAAUUUCAUAGGCAUAGGAAGACUCAUGCAAAUUUUGGAAUUUUUUCAGUCAAAUGCAUACCUAUAUUACUUGCAUCCUGCUUGAUUUUAUUUGCACAAAAACAUUAAUGAAGCAUUUGAUGAAAUAUACAAAGGUGUACACGACCAUGAAACAGAAGGUAAAAAAAGUUGGUAAAACUCAAUGUUAGCCACACUUUUUGGGCCCUAAAUUUUGAGCAUGAAAAAUUUAGAACUUAAUAGCCAACUUAAUAGCCCUCAAACCAAGAUUGAACAAGAAUGUUCUAAUUUUUAGAAGGCAAGAUCAGGAUCUCAAACAUCUAAAUGUCUUCUUUUUUUUUGGAAAAUAAUCAUUUGUACCUAGACGGAUCCCAAAAUUUUGGACAAAAACAAUCUUUCCAAAGUAUUUUUUGCCCGAGGGAGUUGUUGUGCAGUAUGCUCUGGCUUAAAGAAGCAUGCUUGAUAAAUAAUAAGAUAUUUUGGCAGCUCAGCUAUGACAUUUGUGUUAAGAAAGUGCAAGCACUUUUGAAAGUGAAAGAAGGGAGGCUCUACAAUUUAAUUUUUUGAUAUUUUGUCUCAAUAUUUGAAAGCAGUUUUUCAAACCCAGAUUGGUAAGAUGAAUCGUCCAGUUACUAGGCAAUACUCCUAAUCGCUUCGGUGAAGACCAAAAAAUUAUUUUUUGUAAUUUUAUUACAGAAAUAAUAAAAAGCAUUAAAAAAAAAUUAAAUUGGAUAGGACCAGCAGUUCAACUGAUCUAGAUAAGAAACUAGGACAGCCCCAUUACAUUGUUUGAUUUCCUAACCAGAUGGGCAGUUUGUUAAACACUACGCUUAAAAACUGAAGAGAGCAAGAGAGAGAAUCAUUGAUGUAAAAGGAAACUCUAGCAGUCAUAUUAGAUCACGAUUAAAAAACUUAUGAGAUCCUAUUUAGAGAGAGAGAUGGAUGGAUCACGAUCUAAAACGUCAAAUCAAUUUAGGAUCGCCGGUCUAAAGAGAAAGAGUGUGAAUGAAAUAUAUAGAAAAUAAUUUUCAUUUAUAUACCAAGAUAUAAAUUAAGACAGGAAUAAAAUCUUUUAAUUCACAAAGACCAAAGGUCAGAUAACUAAAGAGACUUAGGUCCAAGAGGACAAAAAUCAGGAAGUAAUUCUCUUAUUAACACAACGAGAGAGAGAGAGAGAGAGAGAGAGAGAGAGAGAGAGAGAGAGAGAGAGAGAGAGAGAGAGAGAGAGAGAGAGAGAGAGAUAGAGAGAGAGAGAGUAGAGAGAAGAGAGAAGAGUAGAGUAGUAGAGAGAGAGAGANNNNNNNNNNNNNNNNNNNNNNNNNNNNNNNNNNNNNAGAGAGAAGGAGAGAGAGAGAGAUUCAACAUUACCUGCAGCAAUGAGGAGGACAAGAAAAACUAUUGCAGAGAGCAGCUUCAUCUUGGAUGUACCCUCAAACACCAGCUCUUCAC